Molecule: ribosomal RNA, 450 nt
Filed under: uncultured cyanobacterium
Lineage: Bacteria; Bacillati; Cyanobacteriota
Description: bacterial SSU rRNA
Rfam family: Bacterial small subunit ribosomal RNA
Source: RNAcentral
AGAGUUUGAUCAUGGCUCAGGAUGAACGCUGGCGGUCUGCUUAACACAUGCAAGUCGAACGGACUCUUCGGAGUUAGUGGCGGACGGGUGAGUAACGCGUGAGAAUCUACCUUCAGGACGGAGACAACAGUUGGAAACGACUGCUAACCCCCGAUGAACCGAAAGGGCAAAUAUUUAUAGCCUGAAGAAGAGCUCGCGUCCGAUUAGCUAGUUGGAGAGGUAAAAGCUCACCAAGGCGACGAUCGGUAGCUGGUCUGAGAGGACGAUCAGCCACACUGGGACUGAGACACGGCCCAGACUCCUACGGGAGGCAGCAGUGGGGAAUUUUCCGCAAUGGGCGAAAGCCUGACGGAGCAAGACCGCGUGGGGGAAGAAGGCUCUUGGGUCGUAAACUCCUUCUCUCUGGGAAGAACAAAAUGACGGUACCAGAGAAUCAGCUUCGACCCCGGG